AGGAUAAGGACAUGGCUUCAGAU
RNAcentral lists this non-coding RNA (23 nucleotides) under Cricetulus griseus (Chinese hamster). Lineage: Eukaryota; Metazoa; Chordata; Mammalia; Rodentia; Cricetidae. The record is from RNAcentral.